AUAUCAGUCCCUAAACAAAGCCCAACCAUCACAAACAACAAAUCAGAAGCAUCAAGAAGCCAGAAAUCAAAAAUCAAGCUUGAAAAGGUAGGAAAUCCUAAAUUCUAGAAAUCCUUCGAUUCGAUGUUAAUUGAUGCAAUUGAUUGUUUAAAGUAGUGUAAUAGAGAGUCUAUUAAUGUUCUGGGUUGUAAAAUCAUGAACCCAUAACAUCAAAGUGCACGAAUUUGAAGAUUUGAGCAAGUUGGAAAAACCGAAUUCUGUUAUUUUUCACCAAAUGUCAGAGGCUAUAACUCUUUGGUCGAUCAUGAGUUUUGUUGUUUAAAAGUUGUUAUAGGUAGCCUAAUAUGUGGUCUUUAAACUCCAAAAGGAAUCAGGUCUAUAUCUAUUGUAGAUCGGGAUUUAUAAGCGGUCAAAGUGGGUUGACCGGCAUUGACCGGCUGUUUUUCAAACCCAGAAAAUAUUCUAAGUGUCCAGAAAAUUUUUUUUUGGCAAAUGUCAGGCCUUAUAUCUCGGUCAUCUUUAAUGUGUUUUGUGUUCUAAAGGUUGAUAUGUGUAGCUUGUUAUGUGGUAUUUAACCUCCAAAAAGAAUCAGGUCCAUAUAUAUUACGGAUUAAGAGUUAUUUAAGGUCAAAGUGGGUUGACCGGCAUUGACCAGAAAAUUCUGGGCAGCCCAGAAUUUUCUAAGUGUUAAUUUUUCUGACAAGGUUUGACCAUACUUUAGAUGCUUGAUUUCUUGUUGUUAUGAUGAUGUUAAGUGUUAGAGUUGUAGUCCUACAUGUUGUCUACACACUGGAAUUGAUAGAUCACAUAAACGUUACACGAUCAUCAAGUUAUAGAGGUCCAAAGUAGGCACCUCGAACUGUUCUUCGUGAAGAACAGCUUUGGUAGCUACUUUGAUGGCUGAUUUAUCCCAGAUCUGAUGUUUGUUUAGAGGUUAUGAUUGUUGGAUCUUGUAGUCUUGUAUUUCCUCUACAAGACCCAAUUUAUAGAUUGUCCAAAUUCGUUAAGAUGAGAGAGUUAUUCACGGUCAAAGUAGGCCACUCGGUUCUGCCUUAUGAAGAUCUGGGUAGGCUCAAGAACACCUAUAGCGACACUUCUGUCACUAUAGGGGCCUUUAGCGACAGUUUUAAUUAUUUUAAUUUCUGAUUUUCCGGAAAUUAAUUUAAAAAUUAGAAAAAUUAGUUUUUAAUUAUUAAAAAUACCAAAUAAAUUAUGAAAAAUUAUUUUAAAGUCUGAAAAAUAGUUUUUAAUUAUUUUGAGUAUAUUUCAUAAAUAUUUAAUAUUUUUGAAAUAUAAAAGGUAUUUAUUUAUUUAAUUAUAAUAUUAAAUAAAUGAUUUAAAAAUAGUUUUAAUUCAUGAAAAAUCAUGAAAAAUUAUUUUAUGGUAUAAGAAAAUAUUUUGAGUUAUAAAAUAUAACUUUUAAUAUUUAGAAGAUAAUUUCAUUAAUAAUUAUAUAUUAAUGAUAUUUAGUUAAUGAUUUGUGAUAUUAAGUUUAUUUAAUAUUUAUAUUAAAUAAAUAGUUUAAAAAUGGUUUUAUUUAUUUAAAAAUCAUUUAAAGAGGAUAUUAAGGAUUUAAAAAUAUCUUAAGUUAUAAUUAAUAACUUUUAAUAUUUGGAUAAAUAGUACAUUAAUAUUUAUAUAUUAAUGGUGAUUAUUUAAAAAUGAUUUUAAUUAUUUUAAAAAUCAUUUAAGGGUAAAAUAAAUGUUUUAAAAAUAGUUUGAGUUAUUAUAAAUAACUUUUAUAUUUUGGCAAUGGUUUCAUUAAUAGUUUAAUAUAAAUAAAUUAUUAAUGAUAAAUGAAUUGUUUAAUGUUUAAAUCAUGUAAUUAUAAUUCUGAUGUUUGAAAGUGAUAUCCGGUCAGACUAGCUGACUAGAGAACCGAUUAUGAAGUC
RNAcentral lists this long non-coding RNA (1892 nucleotides) under Panax ginseng (ginseng). RNAcentral describes it as "long non-coding RNA (PGIN_LNC011260)". The record is from RNAcentral. Lineage: Eukaryota; Viridiplantae; Streptophyta; Magnoliopsida; Apiales; Araliaceae.